UCAUUUAGAGGAAGUAAAAGUCGUAACAAGGUCUCCGUAGGUGAACCUGCGGAGGGAUCAUUACACAAAUAUGAAGGCGGGCUGGAACCUCUCGGGGUUACAGCCUUGCUGAAUUAUUCACCCUUGUCUUUUGCGUACUUCUUGUUUCCUUGGUGGGUUCGCCCACCACUAGGACAAACAUAAACCUUUUGUAAUUGCAAUCAGCGUCAGUAACAAAUUAAUAAUUACAACUUUCAACAACGGAUCUCUUGGUUCUGGCAUCGAUGAAGAACGCAGCGAAAUGCGAUAAGUAGUGUGAAUUGCAGAAUUCAGUGAAUCAUCGAAUCUUUGAACGCACAUUGCGCCCUUUGGUAUUCCAAAGGGCAUGCCUGUUCGAGCGUCAUUUGUACCCUCAAGCUUUGCUUGGUGUUGGGCGUCUUGUCUCUAGCUUUGCUGGAGACUCGCCUUAAAGUAAUUGGCAGCCGGCCUACUGGUUUCGGAGCGCAGCACAAGUCGCACUCUCUAUCAGCAAAGGUCUAGCAUCCAUUAAGCCUUUUUUUCAACUUUUGACCUCGGAUCAGGUAGGGAUACCCGCUGAACUUAAGCAUAUCAAUAAG
Molecule: ribosomal RNA, 596 nt
Filed under: uncultured fungus
Lineage: Eukaryota; Fungi
Description: eukaryotic LSU rRNA
Rfam family: 5.8S ribosomal RNA (bases 229-382)
Source: RNAcentral